RNAcentral lists this ribosomal RNA (253 nucleotides) under uncultured bacterium. RNAcentral's name for it is "partial 16S ribosomal RNA". It matches the Rfam family "Bacterial small subunit ribosomal RNA", at positions 524 to 776 of the family's 1533-position model. The record is from RNAcentral.
UACAGAGGUCCCAAGCGUUGUUCGGAUUCACUGGGCGUAAAGGGUGCGUAGGCGGUCGGGUAAGUCUGAUGUGAAAUCUCACAGCUUAACUGUGAAACUGCAUUGGAUACUAUCCGGCUCGAGGAAUGGAGGGGAGACUGGAAUACUUGGUGUAGCAGUGAAAUGCGUAAAUAUCAAGUGGAACACCAGUGGCGAAGGCGAGUCUCUGGACAUUUCCUGACGCUGAGGCACGAAAGCCAGGGGAGCAAACGGG